Molecule: ribosomal RNA, 497 nt
Filed under: uncultured bacterium
Lineage: Bacteria
Description: partial 16S ribosomal RNA
Rfam family: Bacterial small subunit ribosomal RNA
Source: RNAcentral
GAUGAACGCUGGCGGCGUGCCUAAUACAUGCAAGUCGAGCGAACGGACGAUAAGCUUGCUUCUCUGAUGUUAGCGGCGGACGGGUGAGUAACACGUGGAUAACCUACCUAUAAGACUGGGAUAACUUCGGGAAACCGUAUCUAAUACCGGAUCAUAUUUUGAACCGCAUGGUUCAAAAGUGAAAGACGGUCUUGCUGUCACUUAUAGAUGGAUCCGCGCUGCAUUAGCUAGUUGGUAAGGUAACGGCUUACCAAGGCAACGAUGCAUAGCCGACCUGAGAGGGUGAUCGGCCACACUGGAACUGAGACACGGUCCAGACUCCUACGGGAGGCAGCAGUAGGGAAUCUUCCGCAAAGGGCGAAAGCCUGACGGAGCAACGCCGCGUGAGUGAUGAAGGUCUUCGGAUCGUAAAACUCUGUUAUUAGGGAAGAACAUAUGUGUAAGUAACUGUGCACAUCUUGACGGUACCUAAUCAGAAAGCCACGGCUAACUACGUG